AUAAAAAAUAAAAAAGUGGUAUUAUCUUGUUUGAUUUCUUCAGCUUUCAAGACACCUAUGAGAUCUGCCUGUGUUAAACUAUUGACACAUCCUGUUGUAUACAGUCAGGACAUCGGUGCACAGCUAUCAGAGGCUGUAAAGAUCCCUUUGAGACAUGUGGGUGGUAAAAUAUUGACACAUCCUGUAGCAUACCGUCAGGACAUUGGUGCACAGCUAUCAGAGGAUUUUCAGUGCAGACCAGUCCUAGCAUCAGCCAUCCCCUCAUCAGAUGAUGAACCCCUGAGCUGUGCUCAGUUGUAUACACCCUCAUCACCACAGCCAAAGAAGAAGAAGAAGCAGAAG
Pseudoliparis swirei is the source of this 342-nucleotide long non-coding RNA. RefSeq lists it as uncharacterized. The record is from RefSeq and is a predicted model, not a curated record. NCBI's taxonomy places the organism in Eukaryota, Metazoa, Chordata, Actinopteri, Perciformes, Liparidae. The transcript is spliced from 3 exons.